This 2549-nucleotide long non-coding RNA is filed under the name Bos grunniens (domestic yak). RNAcentral's name for it is "lncRNA (ENSBGRG00000002946.1)". The record is from RNAcentral. Lineage: Eukaryota; Metazoa; Chordata; Mammalia; Artiodactyla; Bovidae.
AUGGGGAAACAGAACUCCUCACUGCCCCCUCACCCCCUUUACCACACCAUCCAGACUUCCGGUGUUCAAGAUAUUCCUCUGAUGACACCAGAGGGUCUUUGGGGACUGGACCAGCUGAAGGACUUAUUCCAGAGACUUUGGUCAGAGAAGUGGCAAUUGAGCAUUAACCCUGAACCCUUCAGAAAGCAGAGUCAUCCUACAGACUCUGUAGUUUGUCAGCAUGUGGGUGGCAUGUUCAGUGAGAAAUGGAUCCUCCUCACAUCAAAAGCACAGUUUUAUUUCAAUAGACAUUCCUUGAACUGGUAACAGUUAUGGUGACAAUAUGACUUUUGCCAAUUACUGGAUCUUUUUUUUUGUUUUGCUAUUUUAAACAAUAUCAUUGUUCUGUGAGCCAAAUGUGGUGGCUUCAUUGCUGGGCAAGUCUCCUGGGAGAGAAACUGGAGGAACUCAGAGCACAUGGGUUGUGCAGUCUGUCCCAGAGAAAAGUGGCAGGUUCAGAUGGGUGUGUAUGUACUUUCUGCCUGAAUUCUUUCAGUACCAGUUCCUAAAAUUGUGCCCUUUAUUUUGAGAACCCUAAAAAGCAAUUAAUGUAGUAAGGAAGUGGCAAUUUGGGCCCCUAAUGGGUGGAAGUUUAUGUAUUUAUUCAUGUGUAUUGUUUGAACACCUGAAGUCUCAGUGGUGGUCUUUGUGGUGGGAGCUAAGUAUACAGUGAAAAUCAUCUAGUAGACAGGAUCAUGAGGUGGUUGCUGCUAAGUCGCUUCAGUCGUGUCCGACUCUUGUGACCCAUAGACGGCAGCCCACGAGGCUCCCCGGUGCCUGGGAUUCUCCAGGCAAGAACACUGGAGUGGGUUGCCAUUUCCUUCUCCAGUGCAUGAAAGUGAAAAGUGAAAGUGAAUCGCUCAGUCGUGUCUGACUCUUAGCGACUCCAUGGACUGCGGCCCACCAGGAUCCUCCAUCCAUGAGAUUUUCCAGGCAAGAGUGCUGGAGUGGGGUGCCAUUACCUUCUCUGCAUGAGGUGGUAGAGGAGAUAAAAUGUAAACAAGUCAUUUCAAUGUCAAAAUUAUAUAAAAAUCCUGUGCUCUGAGUGAAACAUGGUACAAUGGGGGCGCAGAGAAGGGACACCAUGCCCAGUUCAUUUUAAGCACAAGGUCUAGCAUUAGACAGCUGAGAAGAAUUCUUAAAUGUUGUGUUGAAAUUGAAGAAAACCUCUUCUUUGAACACACUGUCUUCAUAAGGUGUAGCAGGAAUUUGGAGGUCAUAACAUUCCAGCAGACUUUACACCUAAAAAUCACUUAGGGACUAGAAGUUCAAAGCCUUAAUGACAGCAACAGUAUGAUACACAUCUGGUGCUUUCUGCUUCCUGCUCUAAUAAGUAGAUUCCUCCUGCGGAGUUGACUUUUUAUUUCUCACAGUAUUCAACACUUGCAUCUUGUCAUAAGAACUAUUCCAUCCCAUGUAUUAUUAUUUCUUAUUUAAUGUUAAUAAUUCUAUUUAUGUGUGAAUAGGUGAUAAAUCAUACAAAAUAUAAAGCCCACAGAAGAAUAUGUCAGGUAUUUUUUGUCUCAAAUAUGCAGGUCCAUUCCUAUUUUGCUCAUGGAUACCAGUUUCUUUCAUGUUUCCAGAGAUAGAAGAUAAUAUAUUCAUAUAUUGAUUAUGUUUUAAAUCAGUAAUGCAAUUUACACACUUUCUGCAUCUUUAUUUAUUUAUUUAUUUAUGAUACAUCUUGGAGAUUUUCUCACAUUACCACAAAUACAGCUUCCUUUUUACUUUAGUGAUAUAGAGCAUUCCUGUGUAAUUGUGUCUCAGCAUUUACCUCACUAGUAUGUGAUAGGGGGACUUUAAAGAUGUUUCCAGUCUUUUGGAAUUAUAACAAUCCUUCAAUGAAUGUACCACCAUUCAUUCCAUAUUCAGCUUGGGUACAUAAAUGUUUAAGAUAAGUCCUUAAGUGAGAACUUGCUGGAUCAGCAGUGUUUGCAUUUAAAUUUUGGUAUACAUCUGUAUCAAUCUGCACUCCUCCUAGCAAAUAUCAGGCUGCCAAUUUCCUGUAACCCUUGCCAGGCCAGUGUCCUGUCAAAACUAUACUUCUUGGCCCACUGAGAGGUGACACAGUUAUCUCCUAAUUAUACUUUGCAUACCUUUUAUAAUCAGCAAAGGUAAACAUUUUAAUUAUCUUCUUAUAUGUUUACCCAUUUAAAAAAUGUGGUUGUUGCCCUUUCCUUGCUGAUUUAUGUGGGGUUGUUAGAUCGAGUCUAAAGAAACUCUCUCCAUAUCUAUAUCAUAGGUGACUGUCCCUUCUCUUUAUGCUUUGCUGAAAACUUUGCUAUGAAUCAAUCAUUAUCUUUUAACUCAUUUUCCAUUUCUUUAAAUCAACCAAGUCAAUCAAAAUUAUUUAGAUAUUUAGAUAUCAGGCCCUGAUUCUUUGGUAAUAAUUUCUUAUUUUUAAACUUUUCUUGACUGAAACUACUGUGACAUAUACUUCAAAGAUGAGCCACCCUUACAUGAAGUUUUUUUUCAUGUACUUAACAGGAGUUGUCAGCUCAUUUAACAAC